GCAAGUCGAGCGGAAACGAUGAUAGCUUGCUAUCAGGCGUCGAGCGGCGGACGGGUGAGUAACGCGUAGGAAUCUGCCUAGUAGAGGGGGACAACAUGUGGAAACGCAUGCUAAUACCGCAUAAUCCCUUAGGGGGAAAGGAGGGGAUCACGUGUGACCUUGCGCUAUUAGAGGAGCCGGCGUAAGAUUAGCUAGUUGGUGGGGUAAAGGCCCACCAAGGCGACGAUCUUUAGCUGGUCUGAGAGGAUGGUC
This 252-nucleotide ribosomal RNA is filed under the name uncultured bacterium. RNAcentral describes it as "partial 16S ribosomal RNA". It matches the Rfam family "Bacterial small subunit ribosomal RNA", at positions 57 to 305 of the family's 1533-position model. The record is from RNAcentral.